UAAGGAAUAUUGGACAAUGGCCGCAAGGCUGAUCCAGCCAUGCCGCGUGCAGGAUGAAGGUGCUCUGCAUUGUAAACUGCUUUUAUUUGGGAAUAAACCCUCCUACGUGUAGGGGGCUGAAUGUACCAAAAGAAUAAGGGUCGGCUAACUUCGUGCCAGCAGCCGCGGUAAUACGAAGGACCCGAGCGUUAUCCGGAUUUAUUGGGUUUAAAGGGUGCGUAGGCGGAUUAUUAAGUCAGUGGUGAAAGCCUACAGCUUAACUGUAGAAUUGCCAUUGAUACUGAUGAUCUUGAGUAUGAUUGAGGUGGGCGGAAUGUGUCAUGUAGCGGUGAAAUGCUUAGAUAUGACACAGAACACCGAUUGCGAAGGCAGCUCACUAAGUCAUAACUGACGCUGAUGCACGAAAGCGUGGGGAGCAAACAG
RNAcentral lists this ribosomal RNA (423 nucleotides) under uncultured bacterium. RNAcentral's name for it is "bacterial SSU rRNA". It matches the Rfam family "Bacterial small subunit ribosomal RNA", at positions 355 to 775 of the family's 1533-position model. The record is from RNAcentral.